RNAcentral lists this ribosomal RNA (527 nucleotides) under uncultured bacterium. RNAcentral's name for it is "bacterial SSU rRNA". It matches the Rfam family "Bacterial small subunit ribosomal RNA", at positions 801 to 1340 of the family's 1533-position model. The record is from RNAcentral.
UUAACGAGUUUACUAGUUGUCGGUCUUAAUGACUUGUAACGCAGCUAACGCGUGAAGUAGACCGCCUGGGAGUACGGUCGCAAGAUUAAAANUCAAAGGAAUUGACGGGGACCCGCCCAAGCGGUGGAUGAUGUGGAUUAAUUCGAUGCAACGCGAAAAACCUUACCUACCCUUGACAUGGCUGGAAUCCCGGAGAGAUUUGGGAGUGCUCGAAAGAGAACCAGUACACAGGUGCUGCAUGGCUGUCGUCAGCUCGUGUCGUGAGAUGUUGGGUUAAGUCCCGCAACGAGCGCAACCCUUGUCAUUAGUUGCUACGAAAGGGCACUCUAAUGAGACUGCCGGUGACAAACCGGAGGAAGGUGGGGAUGACGUCAAGUCCUCAUGGCCCUUAUGGGUAGGGCUUCACACGUCAUACAAUGGUACAUACAGAGCGCCGCCAACCCGCGAGGGGGAGCUAAUCGCAGAAAGUGUAUCGUAGUCCGGAUUGUAGUCUGCAACUCGACUGCAUGAANUUGGAAUCGCUAGUA